This 467-nucleotide ribosomal RNA is filed under the name uncultured bacterium. RNAcentral describes it as "partial 16S ribosomal RNA". It matches the Rfam family "Bacterial small subunit ribosomal RNA", at positions 29 to 507 of the family's 1533-position model. The record is from RNAcentral.
ACGAACGCUGGCGGCGUGCUUCACACCUGCAAGUCGCACGGAAAGGCCCUGCUUUUGUGGGGUGCUCGAGUGGCGAACGGGUGAGUAACACGUGAGUAACCUGCCCUUGACUUUGGGAUAACUUCAGGAAACUGGGGCUAAUACCAGAUAGGAGCUCCUGCUGCAUGGUGGGGGUUGGAAAGUUUCGGCGGUUGGGGAUGGACUCGCGGCUUAUCAGCUUGUUGGUGGGGUAGUGGCUUACCAAGGCUUUGACGGGUAGCCGGCCUGAGAGGGUGACCGGCCACAUUGGGACUGAGAUACGGCCCAGACUCCUACGGGAGGCAGCAGUGGGGAAUAUUGCACAAUGGGCGGAAGCCUGAUGCAGCAACGCCGCGUGCGGGAUGACGGCCUUCGGGUUGUAAACCGCUUUCGCCUGUGACGAAGCGUGAGUGACGGUAAUGGGUAAAGAAGCACCGGCUAACUACGUG